CACUCCUACGGGAGGCAGCAGUGAGGAAUAUUGGACCAUGGGUGGAAGCCUGAUCCAGCCAUCCCGCGUGCAGGAAGACGGCCCUAUGGGUUGUAAACUGCUUUUAUCUGGGGAUAAACCUACUUACGUGUAAGUAGCUGAAGGUACCAGAAGAAUAAGCACCGGCUAACUCCGUGCCAGCAGCCGCGGUAAUACGGAGGGUGCAAGCGUUAUCCGGAUUUAUUGGGUUUAAAGGGUCCGUAGGCGGACUGAUAAGUCAGUGGUGAAAUCCGACAGCUUAACUGUCGAACUGCCAUUGAUACUGUUAGUCUUGAGUAAGGUUGAAGUGGCUGGAAUAAGUAGUGUAGCGGUGAAAUGCAUAGAUAUUACUUAGAACACCAAUUGCGAAGGCAGGUCACUAAGUCUUAACUGACGCUGAUGGACGAAAGCGUGGGGAGCGAACAGGAUUAGAAACCCCAGUAGUCCCAUGAU
Molecule: ribosomal RNA, 471 nt
Filed under: uncultured organism
Description: partial 16S ribosomal RNA
Rfam family: Bacterial small subunit ribosomal RNA
Source: RNAcentral